GUAGUCCAUGCCGUAAACGUUGGGCACUAGGUGUGGGGGACAUUCCACGUUUUCCGCGCCGUAGCUAACGCAUUAAGUGCCCCGCCUGGGGAGUACGGCCGCAAGGCUAAAACUCAAAGGAAUUGACGGGGGCCCGCACAAGCGGCGGAGCAUGCGGAUUAAUUCGAUGCAACGCGAAGAACCUUACCAAGGCUUGACAUGUUCCAGACCGGGCUAGAGAUAGUCCUUCCCUUCGGGGCUGGUUCACAGGUGGUGCAUGGUUGUCGUCAGCUCGUGUCGUGAGAUGUUGGGUUAAGUCCCGCAACGAGCGCAACCCUCGUUCCAUGUUGCCAGCACGUAGUGGUGGGGAC
This 350-nucleotide ribosomal RNA is filed under the name uncultured Glutamicibacter sp. RNAcentral's name for it is "bacterial SSU rRNA". It matches the Rfam family "Bacterial small subunit ribosomal RNA", at positions 790 to 1138 of the family's 1533-position model. The record is from RNAcentral. Lineage: Bacteria; Bacillati; Actinomycetota; Actinomycetes; Micrococcales; Micrococcaceae.